This 642-nucleotide ribosomal RNA is filed under the name uncultured bacterium. RNAcentral's name for it is "bacterial SSU rRNA". It matches the Rfam family "Bacterial small subunit ribosomal RNA", at positions 202 to 842 of the family's 1533-position model. The record is from RNAcentral.
AAAGGAAGCGAUUCCGGCGGGGGAUGGGCAUGCGGCGCAUUAGCUAGUCGGCGGGGUAACGGCCCACCGAGGCGACGAUGCGUAGGGGUUCUGAGAGGAAGGUCCCCCACACUGGUACUGAGACACGGACCAGACUCCUACGGGAGGCAGCAGUGAGGAAUAUUGGUCAAUGGGCGGGAGCCUGAACCAGCCAAGUCGCGUGAGGGAAGACGGUCCUAUGGAUUGUAAACCUCUUUUGCCGGGGAGCAACGGGGUCCUUGCGAGGGCCUUAUGAGAGUACCCGGAGAAAAAGCAUCGGCUAACUCCGUGCCAGCAGCCGCGGUAAUACGGAGGAUGCGAGCGUUAUCCGGAUUUAUUGGGUUUAAAGGGUGCGUAGGCGGGCUGUUAAGUCAGCGGUCAAAUGUCGGGGCUCAACCCCGGCCUGCCGUUGAAACUGGCGGCCUCGAGUGGGCGAGAAGUAUGCGGAAUGCGUGGUGUAGCGGUGAAAUGCAUAGAUAUCACGCAGAACUCCGAUUGCGAAGGCAGCAUACCGGCGCCCGACUGACGCUGAGGCACGAAAGCGUGGGUAUCGAACAGGAUUAGAUACCCUGGUAGUCCACGCAGUAAACGAUGAAUGCUAGCUGUCCGGUUCUACGGGACUGG